GACGAACGCUGGCGGCGUGCCUAAUACAUGCAAGUUGAGCGAUGAAGAUUGGUGCUUGCACCAAUUUGAAGAGCAGCGAACGGGUGAGUAACGCGUGGGGAAUCUGCCUUUGAGCGGGGGACAACAUUUGGAAACGAAUGCUAAUACCGCAUAAUAACUUUAAACAUAAGUUUUAAGUUUGAAAGAUGCAAUUGCAUCACUCAAAGAUGAUCCCGCGUUGUAUUAGCUAGUUGGUGAGGUAAAGGCUCACCAAGGCGAUGAUACAUAGCCGACCUGAGAGGGUGAUCGGUCACAUUGGGACUGAGACACGGCCCAAACUCCUACGGGAGGCAGCAGUAGGGAAUCUUCGGCAAUGGACGAAAGUCUGACCGAGCAACGCCGCGUGAGUGAAGAAGGUUUUCGGAUCGUAAAACUCUGUUGGUAGAGAAGAACGUUGGUGAGAGUGGAAAGCUCAUCAAGUGACGGUAACUACCCAGAAAGGGACGGCUAACUACGU
Molecule: ribosomal RNA, 496 nt
Filed under: uncultured bacterium
Lineage: Bacteria
Description: partial 16S ribosomal RNA
Rfam family: Bacterial small subunit ribosomal RNA
Source: RNAcentral